This is a long non-coding RNA of Podarcis raffonei (Aeolian wall lizard), 901 nucleotides long. RefSeq lists it as uncharacterized. The record is from RefSeq and is a predicted model, not a curated record. Lineage: Eukaryota; Metazoa; Chordata; Lepidosauria; Squamata; Lacertidae. The transcript is spliced from 2 exons.
AUCCUCCUUAAAACAAAGAAAAUGCACCAAAGGGUUCAUCUGUCGUUAAAAACUCCACUCCAGUUUCAGUCCUAUAUAUCAAGUGAUAGCAAUGAGAUUCAUGAGCUCUAUUCCUGACCAGUGUCCUGCAUCUAGCACAGCCAAGUCAACAGCCCUGUCAAUCUGGUGAAAUGCAGGCACUGGACAAGUGGUGAUAUACAUUAUUUCCUAUUCACUUUUGUGUGUGUGUGUGUGUGUGUGUGUGCAAACACACAAACAAACACCUCACCAGUUUGUCUGCUUUCAUACAGAGCCAAUGGAAACUAUAUGGUACGCAUCUAUGAAGUCUCUGGGUUCAGAUGGGUUCCGGUCUUCUUCAUGUUUUUCAACGAUUUCUCCCACAAAGGAUUUCAGUUCUCCCCAGUUUCUUUUAACGGUCUGAUGGGGCCCUGGCAAGUGCUUCAUUAGAGUGGGAAAUGCAUUGUACAGCUGAGGAAACAAAUACUAGCAUCAGAUUUAUGUAGGGAAAGCCCUCUCAUAACAAUCGCAGAUCAUGCUACUAUCAAAGGAGAUAGCAAUCCAUGCGAUGGCUUCCCAUGAAGAUGGCUACCUGUUUGAAAAAUGCAUGCACCUUGCCUGACGAUAUCAGGAAAAUGAUGCCAAUGUAGCUUUCCCAUUUCAUGAUGCUUAUCUGCAUGGGGUGGCCUUUCACAGAUUCUAAUUGGUAGGUGGAGAGUAUGGAAUUAAGCCGUGUAUGUCACUUGGGAUUGCAUCUCUGUGUUCAUUGCAAGACAUGCUCUGGAUCUUAAGUCCUGCUUUUGAACACCACUCAAUACCCAGUGUUAUUUAGCUACAUAAAUAUUCCAGCACAGUGUGAGAAUGUUCCCAAUAUGGAAAAUAAAACUAACUAGCCUUCUCAUGA